AGUGAACGCUGGCGGUAGGCCUAACACAUGCAAGUCGAACGGCAGCACAGUAAGAGCUUGCUCUUACGGGUGGCGAGUAGCGGACGGGUGAGGAAUACAUCGGAAUCUACUUUUUCGUAGGGGAUAACGUAGGGAAACAUACGCUACUACCGCAUACGACCUACGGGUGAAAGCAUGGGAUCUUCGGACCUUGCGCGAUUGAAUGAGCCGAUGUCGGAUUAGCUAGUUGGCGGGGUAAAGGCCCACCAAGGCGACGAUCCGUAGCUGGUCUGAGAUGAUGAGCAGCAACACUAGAACUGGAACACGGUACAGACUCCUACGGGAGGCAUCAGUGGAGAAUAUUCGACAAUGGGCGCAAGCCUGAUCCAGCCAUACCGCGUGGGUGAAGAAGGCCGUCGGGUUGUAAAGCCCUUUUGUUGGGAAAGAAAAGCAGCAAGUUAAUACCCCGCUGUUCUGACGGUACCCAAAGGAUAAGCACCGGCUAACUUCGUG
Molecule: ribosomal RNA, 492 nt
Filed under: uncultured bacterium
Lineage: Bacteria
Description: partial 16S ribosomal RNA
Rfam family: Bacterial small subunit ribosomal RNA
Source: RNAcentral